Molecule: non-coding RNA, 288 nt
Organism: Vicia faba (fava bean)
Lineage: Eukaryota; Viridiplantae; Streptophyta; Magnoliopsida; Fabales; Fabaceae
Source: the annotation of a GenBank genome assembly
AUGCAGGUGCGCAUGGAGAUCCUCGUUGUCUUGCAGCAGUGUUGCGCGAGGUGUGUGGUUGCGUUUCGGAGUGACUGGCAAUGUGAAGCAGAGGACGGCUUCUUCGAAGAUCUGCGGCGGAACGGGAAUUUACCGGAGCUUGCGUUUAGAGAGUUGAAUGAGUUGAACGGAAGAAGUUUCACCGGCAAAUUCGGGUUCAAAACCACAGUAACCUACACACACACAAAAUUACAACAAAAGAGAAAGACAUGGUUCAUGUUUUUAUGUUUCAGCAUAUCAAAUGUUUGA